CCUACGGGGCGCAGCAGUGAGGAAUAUUGGUCAAUGGGCGCGAGCCUGAACCAGCCAAGUCGCGUGAGGGAGGACGGCCCUACGGGUUGUAAACCUCUUUUGCCGGGGAGCAACGGGCGUCACGUGUGGCGCCACUGAGAGUACCCGGAGAAAAAGCAUCGGCUAACUCCGUGCCAGCAGCCGCGGUAAUACGGAGGAUGCGAGCGUUAUCCGGAUUUAUUGGGUUUAAAGGGUGCGUAGGCGGAAUGCCAAGUCAGCGGUAAAAUCGCGGGGCUCAACCUCGCUCCGCCGUUGAAACUGGCGUU
RNAcentral lists this ribosomal RNA (305 nucleotides) under uncultured bacterium. Its description in RNAcentral is "bacterial SSU rRNA". It matches the Rfam family "Bacterial small subunit ribosomal RNA", at positions 338 to 640 of the family's 1533-position model. The record is from RNAcentral.